GCACCUGUGGUACAAAGGGUUUGCACUUGACUGCUAACCUAAAGGUUGGUGGUUCAAACCCACCCAGUGGUA
RNAcentral lists this transfer RNA (72 nucleotides) under Loxodonta africana (African savanna elephant). It matches the Rfam family "tRNA". From Rfam's summary of the family: Transfer RNA (tRNA) molecules are approximately 80 nucleotides in length. Their secondary structure includes four short double-helical elements and three loops (D, anti-codon, and T loops). The record is from Rfam by way of RNAcentral. Lineage: Eukaryota; Metazoa; Chordata; Mammalia; Proboscidea; Elephantidae.